CGUUGGUGACCAGCGGAGGGAUCAUUACCGAGUUAUUCAACUCAUCAACCCUGUGAACUUACCUAAACGUUGCUUCGGCGGGAAUAGACGGCCCCGUAAAACGGGCCGCCCCCGCCAGAGGACCCUUAACUCUGUUUCUAUAAUGUUUCUUCUGAGUAAAACAAGCAAAUAAAUUAAAACUUUCAACAACGGAUCUCUUGGCUCUGGCAUCGAUGAAGAACGCAGCGAAAUGCGAUAAGUAAUGUGAAUUGCAGAAUUCAGUGAAUCAUCGAAUCUUUGAACGCACAUUGCGCCCGCCAGUAUUCUGGCGGGCAUGCCUGUUCGAGCGUCAUUACAACCCUCAGGCCCCCGGGCCUGGCGUUGGGGAUCGGCGGAGCCCCCCGUGGGCACACGCCGCCCCCCAAAUACAGUGGCGGUCCCGCCGCAGCUUCCAUCGCGUAGUAGCUAACACCUCGCGACUGGAGAGCGGCGCGGCCACGCCGUAAAACACCCAACUCUUCUGAAGUUGACCUCGAAUCAGGUAGGAAU
RNAcentral lists this ribosomal RNA (528 nucleotides) under Fusarium solani. RNAcentral's name for it is "eukaryotic LSU rRNA". The stretch from base 178 to 331 matches the Rfam family "5.8S ribosomal RNA". Lineage: Eukaryota; Fungi; Ascomycota; Sordariomycetes; Hypocreales; Nectriaceae. The record is from RNAcentral.